GUAGGUGGCAAGCGUUGCCCGGAAUUAUUGGGCGUAAAGCGCGCGCAGGCGGUCCUUUAAGUCUGAUGUGAAAGCCCACGGCUCAACCGUGGAGGGUCAUUGGAAACUGGGGGACUUGAGUACAGAAGAGGAAAGUGGAAUUCCACGUGUAGCGGUGAAAUGCGUAGAGAUGUGGAGGAACACCAGUGGCGAAGGCGACUUUCUGGUCUGUAACUGACGCUGAGGCGCGAAAGCGUGGGGAGCAAACAGGGAUUAGAUACCCUGGUAGUCCACGCCGUAGACGAUGAGUGCUAAGUGUUAGAGGGUUUCCGCCCUUUAGUGCUGCAGCUAACGCAUUAAGCACUCCGCCUGGGAGUACGGCCGCAAGGCUG
This 371-nucleotide ribosomal RNA is filed under the name uncultured organism. RNAcentral describes it as "partial 16S ribosomal RNA". It matches the Rfam family "Bacterial small subunit ribosomal RNA", at positions 527 to 896 of the family's 1533-position model. The record is from RNAcentral.